UACGAAGGGGGCUAGCGUUGCUCGGAAUCACUGGGCGUAAAGGGUGCGUAGGCGGGUCUUUAAGUCAGGGGUGAAAUCCUGGAGCUCAACUCCAGAACUGCCUUUGAUACUGGCGAUCUCGAGUCCGGGAGAGGUGAGUGGAAUUGCGAGUGUAGAGGUGAAAUUCGUAGAUAUUCGCAAGAACACCAGUGGCGAAGGCGGCUCACUGGCCCGGUACUGACGCUGAGGUGCGAAAGCGUGGGGAGCAAACAGG
RNAcentral lists this ribosomal RNA (253 nucleotides) under uncultured bacterium. RNAcentral's name for it is "partial 16S ribosomal RNA". It matches the Rfam family "Bacterial small subunit ribosomal RNA", at positions 524 to 776 of the family's 1533-position model. The record is from RNAcentral.